RNAcentral lists this ribosomal RNA (473 nucleotides) under uncultured bacterium. Its description in RNAcentral is "SSU rRNA". It matches the Rfam family "Bacterial small subunit ribosomal RNA", at positions 26 to 518 of the family's 1533-position model. The record is from RNAcentral.
AGGACGAACGCUGGCGGCGUGCUUAACACAUGCAAGUCGAGCGGAAAGGCCCUUCGGGGUACUCGAGCGGCGAACGGGUGAGUAACACGUGAGCAACCUGCCCUUAGCUUCGGGAUAGCUCCGGGAAACCGGAAUUAAUACCGGAUAUGACUAUGGCCGACAUCAGCCAUGGUGGAAAGUUUUUCGGCUAGGGAUGGACUCGCGGCCUAUCAGCUAGUUGGUGAGGUAACGGCUCACCAAGGCGACGACGGGUAGCCGGCCUGAGAGGGCGACCGGCCACACUGGGACUGAGACACGGCCCAGACUCCUACGGGAGGCAGCAGUGGGGAAUAUUGCGCAAUGGGCGAAAGCCUGACGCAGCGACGCCGCGUGGGGGAUGAAUGCCUUCGGGUUGUAAACCCCUUUCAGCAGGGACGAAGCGAAAGUGACGGUACCUGCAGAGAAGCGCCGGCUAACUACGUGCCAGCAGCCGC